CGACCGCAUGCGGGAGAAUCGGGAUCAAACCCGAUGCCGAAGGAGCAAUGCCCCGGAAACUCUCAGGCCACCGGACCGCAUGCGGACA
Molecule: non-coding RNA, 88 nt
Filed under: Pontibaca methylaminivorans
Lineage: Bacteria; Pseudomonadati; Pseudomonadota; Alphaproteobacteria; Rhodobacterales; Roseobacteraceae
Description: Glycine sequence
Rfam family: Glycine riboswitch aptamer
About the family: This family represents the bacterial glycine riboswitch.
Source: Rfam by way of RNAcentral